CCUACGGGAGGCAGCAGUGGGGAAUAUUGGACAAUGGGCGAAAGCCUGAUCCAGCAAUGCCGCGUGAGUGAUGAAGGCCUUAGGGUUGUAAAGCUCUUUUACCAGGGAUGAUAAUGACAGUACCUGGAGAAUAAGCUCCGGCUAACUCCGUGCCAGCAGCCGCGGUAAUACGGAGGGAGCUAGCGUUGUUCGGAAUUACUGGGCGUAAAGCGUACGUAGGCGGUUAUUCAAGUCAGAGGUGAAAGCCUGGAGCUCAACUCCAGAACUGCCUUUGAAACUAGAUAGCUAGAAUCUUGGAGAGGUGAGUGGAAUUCCGAGUGUAGAGGUGAAAUUCGUAGAUAUUCGGAAGAACACCAGUGGCGAAGGCGACUCACUGGACAAGUAUUGACGCUGAGGUACGAAAGCGUGGGGAGCAAACAGGAUUAGAUACCCUGGUAGUCCACGCCGUAAACGAUGAUAACUAGCUGUUCGGGCUCUACGAGCUUGAGUGGCGCAGCUAACGCAUUAAGUUAUCCGCCUGGGGAGUACGGUCGCAAGNUUAAAACNCAAAAUGAAUUGACGGCUGAGAGNGCGAGACGACGACGAGGGAGAGG
RNAcentral lists this ribosomal RNA (593 nucleotides) under uncultured bacterium. RNAcentral describes it as "bacterial SSU rRNA". It matches the Rfam family "Bacterial small subunit ribosomal RNA", at positions 338 to 947 of the family's 1533-position model. The record is from RNAcentral.